UCUCCGUUGGUGAACCAGCGGAGGGAUCAUUACCGAGUUUACAACUCCCAAACCCCAUGUGAACCUUACCAAACGUUGCUUCGGCGGGAUGCCCCGGGCGCGGGCCGCAAGGCCUCAGCCCCGGAACCAGGCGCCCGCCGGAGGCCCAAACCAAACUCUUGUUUUUGUAGAAUCUUCUGAGUGGCCUUUUAGGCAAAAAAUGAAUCAAAACUUUCAACAACGGAUCUCUUGGUUCUGGCAUCGAGAAGAACGCAGC
Molecule: unclassified non-coding RNA, 256 nt
Filed under: plant metagenome
Description: partial contains small subunit ribosomal RNA, internal transcribed spacer 1, and 5.8S ribosomal RNA
Source: RNAcentral